This 428-nucleotide ribosomal RNA is filed under the name Mycoplasmopsis pullorum. RNAcentral's name for it is "bacterial SSU rRNA". It matches the Rfam family "Bacterial small subunit ribosomal RNA", at positions 1096 to 1533 of the family's 1533-position model. Lineage: Bacteria; Bacillati; Mycoplasmatota; Mycoplasmoidales; Metamycoplasmataceae. The record is from RNAcentral.
GCGCAACCCUUGUCCUUAGUUAGAUGAUCUAAGGAGACUGCCCGAGUAAUUGGGAGGAAGGUGGGGACGACGUCAAAUCAUCAUGCCUCUUACGAGCGGGGCAACACACGUGCUACAAUGGACGGUACAAAGAGAAGCAAGACAGCGAUGUGGAGCAAAUCUCAAAAAACCGUUCUCAGUUCGGAUUGUAGUCUGCAACUCGACUACAUGAAGUCGGAAUCGCUAGUAAUCGUAGAUCAGCUACGCUACGGUGAAUACGUUCUCGGGUCUUGUACACACCGCCCGUCACACCAUGGGAGCUGGUAAUGCCCGAAGUCGGUUUUGUUAACCACGGAGACAACUGCCUAAGGCAGGACUGGUGACUGGGGUGAAGUCGUAACAAGGUAUCCCUACGAGAACGUGGGGAUGGAUUACCUCCUUUCUACGGA